This 460-nucleotide ribosomal RNA is filed under the name uncultured bacterium. RNAcentral describes it as "partial 16S ribosomal RNA". It matches the Rfam family "Bacterial small subunit ribosomal RNA", at positions 338 to 795 of the family's 1533-position model. The record is from RNAcentral.
CCUACGGGUGACAGCAGUGAGGAAUAUUGGUCAAUGGGCGCGAGCCUGAACCAGCCAAGUCGCGUGAAGGAUGACGGCCCUACGGGUUGUAAACUUCUUUUGUAAGGGAGUAAACUGAGGCACGCGUGCCUUUUUGUAUGUACCUUAUGAAUAAGGAUCGGCUAACUCCGUGCCAGCAGCCGCGGUAAUACGGAGGAUUCGAGCGUUAUCCGGAUUUAUUGGGUUUAAAGGGAGCGUAGACGGGCGGUUAAGUCAGUUGUGAAAGCUUGCGGCUCAACCGCGGAAUUGCAUUUGAUACUGGUAGCCUUGAGUGCAGUUGAGGUAGGCGGAAUGCGUGGUGUAGCGGUGAAAUGCUUAGAUAUCACGAAGAACUCCGAUUGCGAAGGCAGCUUACCAAGCUGCCACUGACGUUGAGGCACGAAAGCGUGGGUAUCAAACAGGAUUAGAUACCCGUGUAGUC